This 253-nucleotide ribosomal RNA is filed under the name uncultured bacterium. RNAcentral's name for it is "partial 16S ribosomal RNA". It matches the Rfam family "Bacterial small subunit ribosomal RNA", at positions 524 to 776 of the family's 1533-position model. The record is from RNAcentral.
GACGAACCGUGCGAACGUUGUUCGGAAUCACUGGGCUUAAAGGGCGCGUAGGCGGUGCGGUAAGUCUGCGGUGAAAUCUCCCGGCUCAACUGGGAGUCUGCCGUGGAAACUGCCGUGCUUGAGUGUGGGAGAGGUGAGUGGAACUGCGAGUGUAGAGGUGAAAUUCGUAGAUAUUCGCAAGAACACCAGUGGCGAAGGCGGCUCACUGGCCCGAUACUGACGCUGAGGCACGAAAGCGUGGGGAGCAAACAGG